AGUAGGUAGGGUCCACUGCAUCAACCUUGUUGAUAGACUCUAUCCAACUGCUGACCCGACGUUAGACCCGAACUUUGCUGAGUAUCUCAAGCGUCGUUGUCCCCAUCCUGACCCAAACCCGCUUGCAGUGGAAUACUCGAGGAGUGACCUACAAACACCAAUGAUUUUAGACAACAUGUACUACAAGAACAUCAAAAAUAACAAGGGACUGCUUAUCGUUGAUCAACAACUUGUUUCGAACCCGAUCACAUCUCCAUAUGUUGACAAAAUGGCAGCUGAUAAUGAUUACUUUCAUGAUCAGUUUGCUAAGGCUCUUCUCACUUUGUCAGAGAACAACCCGAUAAGCGAGGAAGAAGGCGAGGUGCGAAAAGAUUGUCGUUUUGUAAAUCAU
This 391-nucleotide long non-coding RNA is filed under the name Lactuca sativa (garden lettuce). Its description in RNAcentral is "long non-coding RNA (LSAT_LNC006346)". The record is from RNAcentral. Lineage: Eukaryota; Viridiplantae; Streptophyta; Magnoliopsida; Asterales; Asteraceae.